This 616-nucleotide ribosomal RNA is filed under the name uncultured bacterium. RNAcentral's name for it is "bacterial SSU rRNA". The stretch from base 1 to 539 matches the Rfam family "Bacterial small subunit ribosomal RNA", at positions 338 to 873 of the family's 1533-position model. The record is from RNAcentral.
CCUACGGGAGGCAGCAGUGGGGAAUAUUGGACAAUGGGCGAAAGCCUGAUCCAGCCAUGCCGCGUGUGUGAAGAAGGUCUUCGGAUUGUAAAGCACUUUAAGUUGGGAGGAAGGGCAGUUACCUAAUACGUGAUUGUUUUGACGUUACCGACAGAAUAAGCACCGGCUAACUCUGUGCCAGCAGCCGCGGUAAUACAGAGGGUGCAAGCGUUAAUCGGAAUUACUGGGCGUAAAGCGCGCGUAGGUGGUUUGUUAAGUUGGAUGUGAAAUCCCCGGGCUCAACCUGGGAACUGCAUUCAAAACUGACUGACUAGAGUAUGGUAGAGGGUGGUGGAAUUUCCUGUGUAGCGGUGAAAUGCGUAGAUAUAGGAAGGAACACCAGUGGCGAAGGCGACCACCUGGACUAAUACUGACACUGAGGUGCGAAAGCGUGGGGAGCAAACNGGAUUAGAUACCCUGGUAGUCCACGCCGUAAACGAUGUCAACUAGCCGUUGAAGUCCUUGNGUNUUAGUGNGCNGCUACGCAUAAGUUAGACGCCGUGGAGGACGGCCGCGAAGUAAACGUUAAAGUAAGUAGAGCGUGAGACGUGCCGACGGACGACGACGAGGGAGGAGG